GAUGAACGCUGGCGGCGUGCCUAAUACAUGCAAGUCGAGCGAACGGACGAGAAGCUUGCUUCUCUGAUGUUAGCGGCGGACGGGUGAGUAACACGUGGAUAACCUACCUAUAAGACUGGGAUAACUUCGGGAAACCGUAGCUAAUACCGGAUAAUAUUUUGAACCGCAUGGUUCAAAAGUGAAAGACGGUCUUGCUGUCACUUAUAGAUGGAUCCGCGCUGCAUUAGCUAGUUGGUAAGGUAACGGCUUACCAAGGCAACGAUGCAUAGCCGACCUGAGAGGGUGAUCGGCCACCCUGGAACUGAGACACGGUCCAGACUCCUACGGGAGGCAGCAGUAGGGAAUCUUCCGCAAUGGGCGAAAGCCUGACGGAGCAACGCCGCGUGAAUGAUGAAGGUCUUCGGAUCGUAAAACUCUGUUAUUAGGGAAGAACAUAUGUGUAAGUAACUGUGCACAUCUUGACGGUACCUAAUCAGAAAGCCACGGCUAACUACGUG
This 497-nucleotide ribosomal RNA is filed under the name uncultured bacterium. Its description in RNAcentral is "partial 16S ribosomal RNA". It matches the Rfam family "Bacterial small subunit ribosomal RNA", at positions 28 to 507 of the family's 1533-position model. The record is from RNAcentral.